AGCAGCCGCGGUAAUUCCAGCUCCAAUAGCGUAUAUUAAAGUUGUUGCAGUUAAAAAGCUCGUAGUUGAAUUUCGGGGUUCUACCGUUGGUCGGGCUUUGUCUGUACUGGCGUGUAGAGUUUCUACCUUCUGGGGAACCAUCAUGUUAUUAAUUUAACGUGGUGGGAAACCAGGACCUCUACCUUGAAAAAAUUAGAGUGUUCAAAGCAGGCUUAUGUCUGAAUACAUUAGCAUGGAAUAAUAAAAUAGGACGGUGGUCCUGUCUUGUUGGUUUCUGAAUCACCGCAAUGAUUAAUAGGGAUAGUUGGGGGCAUUAGUAUUCAAUUGUCAGAGGUGAAAUUCUUGGGUUUAU
This 352-nucleotide ribosomal RNA is filed under the name uncultured Racocetra. RNAcentral describes it as "SSU rRNA". It matches the Rfam family "Eukaryotic small subunit ribosomal RNA", at positions 569 to 929 of the family's 1831-position model. The record is from RNAcentral. Lineage: Eukaryota; Fungi; Glomeromycota; Glomeromycetes; Diversisporales; Gigasporaceae.